This 497-nucleotide ribosomal RNA is filed under the name uncultured bacterium. Its description in RNAcentral is "partial 16S ribosomal RNA". It matches the Rfam family "Bacterial small subunit ribosomal RNA", at positions 28 to 507 of the family's 1533-position model. The record is from RNAcentral.
GAUGAACGCUGGCGGCGUGCCUAACACAUGCAAGUCGAGCGAACAGACGAGGAGUUUGCUCCUCUGACGUUAGCGGCGGACGGGUGAGUAACACGUGGAUAACCUACCUAUAAGACUGGGAUAACUACGGGAAACCGGCUCUAAUCCCGGAUAAUAUAUUGAACCACAUGGUUCAUUAGUGAAAGACGGUUUUGCUGUCACUUAUAGAUGUUUCCGCGCGGGAUUAGCUAGUUGGUACGGUAACGGCUUACCAAGGCGAGGAUGCGUAGCCGACCUGAGAGGUUGAUCGGCCACACUGGAACUGAGACACGGUCCAGACUCCUACGGGAGGCAGCAGUAGGGAAUCUUCCGCAAUGGGCGAAAGCCUGACAGAGCAACGCCGCGUGAGUGAUGAAGGUCUUCGGAUCGUAAAACUCUGUUAUUAGGGAAGAACAAAUGUGUAAGUAACUAUGCACGUCUUGACGGUACCUAAUCAGAAAGCCACGGCUAACUACGUG